UACAGAGGGUGCAAGCGUUGUCCGGAAUCACUGGGCGUAAAGGGCGCGUAGGCGGCUUGGUAAGUAGGGGGUGAAAUCUUGCGGCUCAACCGCAAGGCUGCCUUCUAAACUGCCGGGCUUGAGCACAGUAGAGGCAGGUGGAAUUCCCGGUGUAGCGGUGGAAUGCGUAGAGAUCGGGAAGAACAUCAGUGGCGAAGGCGGCCUGCUGGGCUGUUGCUGACGCUGAGGCGCGAUAGCGUGGGGAG
RNAcentral lists this ribosomal RNA (245 nucleotides) under uncultured bacterium. RNAcentral's name for it is "partial 16S ribosomal RNA". It matches the Rfam family "Bacterial small subunit ribosomal RNA", at positions 524 to 768 of the family's 1533-position model. The record is from RNAcentral.